GAUGAUUUGAGUAAUUUACAAGAUGUAAAAAGGGGGAGGAUAGUCAUUCUAAAAUUUGACUUCGUUCACAGUGAACAUGAUUAUCAUGAUAAAUGUAGGGUAUCCUUACACUUUCAAUGUAAUCAUGGUGUAAAUGUAUUUUAUAAUUUGUAUCAAUACAUACAAUCAUUAUGCAUUUUAUUCACAUAUAUUUUUAUAGAGGAACCUUGAUAUCAUUAGUGUUAAUUUGCUUUAUCUUUUUUUCUUGUGUUCCAAGAUUUGCUUUUUUAAUUAGUAAUUACUCAUUUUUUCAAUUAUUCAACAUAAACUGACUCUCAGUUUCGCUGUGGUGUUGUCCCAAUACGGGUAGAGACAGGACGCUACGAGAGUCAUCCAAUAGAUCAAUCAAAGAACUUGUUUUGUUUGUGACGAUAUAAUUGAAACGGAGGAGCAUGUAUUGACUGUAUGUCCGUUGUACGACGAUCUUA
RNAcentral lists this long non-coding RNA (467 nucleotides) under Mytilus galloprovincialis (Mediterranean mussel). The record is from RNAcentral. Lineage: Eukaryota; Metazoa; Mollusca; Bivalvia; Mytilida; Mytilidae.